Molecule: long non-coding RNA, 1999 nt
Organism: Musa acuminata AAA Group (dessert banana)
Lineage: Eukaryota; Viridiplantae; Streptophyta; Magnoliopsida; Zingiberales; Musaceae
Exons: 4
Source: RefSeq, a predicted model, not a curated record
GAGGUCGUCAAUCCAUGUUGCAAUUGGAGGAGAAGAGAAUAAAGGCCACAAAUUUAUAGGAUAUGAUAUUUUGCUGUCGUGUAAGAAACAAAUUGGAGAUGUUGUUGAUGCCAUGCUGCUGGAGAUUUUCUACCACUCUGAUGUUGAUUGAUUCCAUCCGGUUGUCGGUUCAUUCACAGAACAUCUUAAUCUCAAGUUCUUUUUUUUCUGUGGAAUCCAGGAAUUUUCUUCUUUACUAAUUGUUGCAACACAACGCUCAUACAACCACGGCAACAACAACAACAACAACGAAGCUAUAAAGUCCCAACACAACACCUAACCAUAGGAAGUUGUAAGAUUGGGUAACUUUUCACCCUUAACAGUCACUGUACAAAUAAUUAAGGAAAAUAUGUAAGAUGACAUAGGUUUCAACCUCGCAUUGUUUAUGGAAAGUCCUCACACUUUCUAGUAAGUGUUUUCAUUAUAUUGACUAGUAAAUGUGAAUUACAAGCUUAAUCAUUUAUAUUCUAAAAGAACGAUUCAUUGAGAAAAGUUAUGGGAUCAGCACUCAUCAGCCCAUUUGCAUAAUGUUCCAUGUACUGAAGAUGGGGAAUAAGAGAACCAGCCAUUGGAGACCUGAGGCUCAAAUUUGUAUAAUUGAUUAAUUAAUUAAUUAUAUAGAUGAUUUAGUAUGCCAGAAGAUUAAAAUUGGGGAUUUUAUUUCUUUCUUUAGUUCUCGAUGCUUUUUGGGUAAUCAAAUUUUCCAUUGCCCUAGCACUUUAUUAGAGGAAAUACACACAAAAAAAAAAAAGGAGUAUACAACAUUUGCACUUGAAAGAUAUAAUCUUCAACCAUAAAUGUAUUGUAUACCACUUUCUUAUUGGAAACCUAGUGGAAAGUGAUACUUGGAUAUUUCCUAAAUGUGAACUAAAUACUUGGUUUAAGAAUUGCUUAUCGUCAACAUUAAACAUUUGGAUAUAUUUGGGGACAGACAAUUCAUGGGAAGGUGUUUCACUCACGGGCAUCGACCUACGAGUUGGAUGAUUGUGAGUGUAUGGUGCAUCAAAUGGUAAAGAAGGUUUUCAGUGAUGCCAGAUUUGUUACAUCUAACAACAUCUGAAUGUGUGAACUGUGAACACAUGUAGCGAAAAAUUAUUUUUGGAUGAACAAGGACACGUGCAUUCAAAUUGAUAUUUUUUUAUCGUCUCAUAAUGUGGAACUAUAAUUUCUUUUUUUGCUGUCACUUUUUGCUGCUAUGUCCAUGCUUAUGGUAUUGUGUGGUGCAAGGCAAUAGUCUUGAAGACACAAGCAUAAUUAGGAUUCUUUUAUGUAGGUUGGUCAGUUCAUCAAAUGUCUGGUCGAGGCAAGAAAUGAAUUGCGGCACAAGUAUGUCGUCACUUUACAGGUCUGAGAUUGUUCAAAGGAGUUUUAAAAUAAAGAAGGCAUUACUAUACAAAGUCGACAGAUCUUCUUUUGAUUGUCUUUGCCAACAGUUAUACAAGAAAUUUUUGGUUGACCACAAGCAGCUAGUAUUUUUCUUCUGCACGUCCAGUAGGAUGGAUCUUUCUGUGCCUGCAGAUCUUCAAACUAUGGACCGUACACAGGAUAUGAGAGUAAGAUGCAACUGUUCAUAAUCUACUUCAAGACCAACUCAACCUCUCACCUGCUUAUAUGCUUCGAGGUUAGCCCAAGCAUGGAGCAGAAGGCUGAACCAGACGAGUCUGCAGAACUUCCUGAUAUCUCAUUCGAGGAGUCAUUAGCUGACGAAAAGAAGGAUUUGUUUCGGCAAAGAAAUCGCAAGCUAAGAUCAUUUGCGAGAUGAGAGGCCAUACAUCUGUGGUGUGCAAUUGCUGCUGCCCAUAGAGGUUGUUUCACCAUAGCAUGACUUUUCCUUUUUCCCCUGGGCUGUACAUCUUGAGAAAUCUUUCUCCAGUUUGUUACUUUCACUUCCUGAAAGCUUUACACUGCAGUUAAGGAUAGAGAAGAUACAAAUUGCCUAUCUUAUCUGAUAGUUUCUUCC